UCUUCAGUCUUUACAGAACUCUGGAUUUUUUUCAUUGUUUGUUUUAAAUUUUUAUCAGUGGCCUUCUUUUUAGUACUCUCGUGGUUGUGGUGCUUCUUGUAUUUACUAUGGUACAAACUAUCUUCUUUAUCCUGAAUCCUAUUAUUAAUUAUUUUUGAACUGUGAGCAGUUAGCUGGAGCAGAUAGAUUGACCUCUAUUUUCUUAAUCAAUAGUAAAUAUAUAUUGUCAUACUCUACUUUUUUACAAAUAUAUAAGAAUGCUUUAGGUCAAGUAUUAUUUGUCAAUCAGACUUGGAGAUGGUGGUCAAUCAGUUAGGCCAAGUAUUUUUUUCAUAUAUAUUAGGGAUGUAUAGAUAUUGUACAUGACUUGACCUGUAACCCAGGCCUUGUAUGGCUAUAUAUAUGAAAGGUGACCCAACCCUAAGGUUGUGUCUUUUUUCUCUUUCUAUCUCUCUACUCUACAUGGUAUCAUGAAUCUGGGUUUUACCCUACUUCUUCCACUGCCCUAGCUCUUGAGCCACGCCGCGACUUCCCUCACAUCACCACAUAUAUGGGCAUUUUCCCACACGAACCUGUGCAAAUAGCUUCCAAGAUGGAAGAAAGAAACAGAUGAAGCAAUUAAUGGAAAGUAAUACACUCGGUACUUAGUUCAGACUCCUUAUAUUCAAUCAUGUUUACUGUUUUUCUUCAUGGCUAGAUAAUGGCCUGUGCGUUGCAACGGGCACAAAAAAUUGCCGGAGACAAAAGUUCUUCCAAACAAAUGACAUGCAAAUUAAAACACAUGUACACAGAUUAUGGUAUAUGUCUACAGGCCAAAUUAAGAUUUUUCAGCAUCUUUGGGAGCAAACGACGACUUCAGUUCAAGAAUUAUGGUAUACUUUCCUUUGGAUGUUCAAGUAAAAUAUAAGUGGAGGCUCAAGCCACUUGUCACUGGCACAUAAAGCAGUUCAGCGCACUCCAUUUAAUAAUGUAAAAUCAGUAAACAGUACAAGUAAGCUCACAGGCUAUCUACUCAAGCAAGGAACCACACAAACCCUUUAGAUGCUGCUCACAUGUGAACCAUCUCAACAGUGCCAAAUCAAAGGCACUGGACACUGGGCAGGUUUAAAUCAGGGUGCGUCAGUCAGCAAGUCAAUUUGCACCGACUUUUAGCUCAAAUGUUUGAGGAGCAGAAAAUGCAUCAGGCGUUAUCACGAGGGAUUGAUUAUAUCUGAACAAAUUGAUAAUAGCAUGGCAGCUCUUUUAAUAUAUAUCCACAUUGUAAUGGCAGAGAUUUCCAGGCAUACAACUUAAUCCAGCCAAAUCUUAUCGUCUCCCUCCUGCAGAACCGGUCGCACGGCCUCACGUCGCUAACCAGGCGGCGGCAGGUCGAUUCUUCUACUGGCGUGGCCCCUCCGCAGCGGCAGCGAUGCUUGGCGGCAGCCUUCCCCUGCUAGCACCCCCGACUGGAAGCCUCUCUCCUCUCGUCCCGUCGAGCAGGAGAGCUGCCACCCAACUCUGGCGGCGGCCCCUCCCAGUGGCCAAACCCGGGUGACCUCUCGGUCUCUCCUAUUGCACCAAGGAGCACUGGCGCGCGUGCAGAGCUCCGGGCGGGGCAGCGAGCUUCCCAGCUCCAUGCUGGGCAGGUGGCAUCGCAACUGCGUGCGCGGACAGAGCUCCGAUGAGCCUUUUUAUUUCCCGUUUCCUGAUGCAGCCGCUGUGAUGCACCCGCAUCAUUCGUGGGAGCUCGCUACAGGCGGAGCCUCCCCACUUCGAGGGCAGCCGCGACCUGCUGCAGCUCUCACGUGCAUAUGACAGUUAUAUUCUCGGCUGUUCCGAGUUAUACAUGUAACCACUAUGGAUGCUUGUGGCCCACAUGUCCUGGAAGCUCCCUGUGGCGUGCCCAGGCAGCCGGCCAUCGGGCCUUUUUCUCAACCA
Long non-coding RNA from Setaria italica (foxtail millet), 1917 nucleotides. RefSeq lists it as uncharacterized. The record is from RefSeq and is a predicted model, not a curated record. Lineage: Eukaryota; Viridiplantae; Streptophyta; Magnoliopsida; Poales; Poaceae. The transcript is spliced from 3 exons.